GAAAUGCGAUAAGUAAUGUGAAUUGCAGAAUUCAGUGAAUCAUCGAAUCUUUGAACGCACAUUGCGCCCGCCAGUAUUCUGGCGGGCAUGCCUGUUCGAGCGUCAUUACAACCCUCAGGCCCCCGGGCCUGGCGUUGGGGAUCGGCGGAAGCCCCCUGCGGGCACAACGCCGUCCCCCAAAUACAGUGGCGGUCCCGCCGCAGCUUCCAUCGCGUAGUAGCUAACACCUCGCAACUGGAGAGCGGCGCGGCCACGCCGUAAAACACCCAACUUCUGAAUGUUGACCUCGAAUCAGGUAGGGAUACCCGCUGAACUUAAGC
Molecule: unclassified non-coding RNA, 320 nt
Filed under: plant metagenome
Description: partial contains 5.8S ribosomal RNA, internal transcribed spacer 2, and large subunit ribosomal RNA
Rfam family: 5.8S ribosomal RNA (bases 1-105)
Source: RNAcentral